This 472-nucleotide ribosomal RNA is filed under the name uncultured bacterium. Its description in RNAcentral is "bacterial SSU rRNA". It matches the Rfam family "Bacterial small subunit ribosomal RNA", at positions 328 to 793 of the family's 1533-position model. The record is from RNAcentral.
CAUCGAGACUCCUACGGGAGGCAGCAUGGGGAAUAUUGCACAAUGGGGGAAACCCUGAUGCAGCCAUGCCGCGUGUGUGAAGAAGGCCUUCGGGUUGUAAAGCACUUUCAGUAGGGAGGAAGGUAGUGUAGUUAACACCUGCACUAUUUGACGUUACCUACAGAAGAAGCACCGGCUAACUCCGUGCCAGCAGCCGCGGUAAUACGGAGGGUGCGAGCGUUAAUCGGAAUUACUGGGCGUAAAGCGCAUGCAGGCGGCCUGUUAAGUCAGAUGUGAAAGCCCCGGGGCUUAACCUCGGAAUUGCAUUUGAAACUGGCAGGCUAGAGUCUUGUAGAGGGGGUAGAAUUUCAGGUGUAGCGGUGAAAUGCGUAGAGAUCUGAAGGAAUACCAGUGGCGAAGGCGGCCCCCUGGACAAAGACUGACGCUCAGAUGCGAAAGCGUGGGGAGCAAACAGGAUUAGAUACCCUGGUAG